Molecule: long non-coding RNA, 1167 nt
Filed under: Chinchilla lanigera (long-tailed chinchilla)
Lineage: Eukaryota; Metazoa; Chordata; Mammalia; Rodentia; Chinchillidae
Description: lncRNA (ENSCLAG00000026092.1)
Source: RNAcentral
GUCUUUCUGCCAAAGCUGACAGCAUAAUACCAUCUCCUACUGUCAUCACCACGCCCCUGGGACCGAGCGGGGUUUCUGUCAGAAGCCAUCACGCAUGCUGGGUGGUGACAGUCCACCGUGAGGCGAAGCCAAGCCUAGAGAGGCCAACCAGCAAGAAGGAAAGGUAGACCUGGAACCCUAACGGCACUGUUCUCAGUAGCCCUUGCUUCCCCUCUCGAACUGAGAGGUGUGUGGCAGAGGGGAGCAAGUGACGAACUAUGUACAGCUGAGGAGGAGGCAAAGCCAUGAAAGGCUGAAGCCACAGCAGUGCUACGCGCUUGCACAGGUGCACACCGAAGCCCAGGCUCAUCUGGAGGAAGGCCAGAGAGAAAGAAACAACAGACAGACUAUGGGAGCCCACUGGCCAGUACUGCGCUAAGAGUUCAUCAGGGCUGAUCUCCCCUUUAAUCUUCACCACAACUCUGCAAGGUGAACUCGGCUUUAACAAAGAAACUGGGGCCAACAAGUUACCAAUCUUUUCCAGGCUACAAAAAUAAAAGAGAAGGCUGAGGUUUUUAAAAGAGAAUUGCCUGGUUGCCCCCAACACCUAUGUUCUCUGUGCUCUUCGUUCUGAUGCCAACUGUAUUCCUGUAUCCAAAUCUUAUUAAUGAAUAUUUUCAAAAGUAUUUCAUGACUAUAAAUGAUCUGAAAAUAUUUCUUUAACCUUUCUUUUUUUUUUUUUUUUGCGGUACCUGGCAUCAAACUCACGACCUUGCGCUUGCCAGGCAGGCGCUUAUGCCACUGAGCUAUAUCCCCACCCUGUCUUUAGUAUUUCGAUUGCAUUCAAACCUCGGUAAACGUAAUUUGUUAGCCAAACUGUAAUACUUGACUGAAAGGGAAUACUACUUACAAUUAUGCAGAGUUAAAAGGUUUAAGUCAGUUAUCAUAAACAUCACUAUUACAACGGGAAAAUUUAAAUAGUAUUUUUGCCAGGUCUACUCCAGAAUAAAAAAAUGCAUUUUUAGUAACUCAUACAAUUUUGUUACAAAAGAAGGUAUCUUUGUUACAAAGAUAAAUGUCUUAAAGUGUUUCUUUCAAAAUUAUAUGCUACUACUCUUAAGAGAAAGACUAAAACAGUUUAAGUACAUGAACAGAUGACAAAAUUAUAUACAUCUUGGCUACUUAAAC